RNAcentral lists this ribosomal RNA (247 nucleotides) under uncultured bacterium. RNAcentral's name for it is "partial 16S ribosomal RNA". It matches the Rfam family "Bacterial small subunit ribosomal RNA", at positions 15 to 236 of the family's 1533-position model. The record is from RNAcentral.
GAUCCUGGCUCAGGACGAACGCUGGCGGCGUGCUUAACACAUGCAAGUCGAACGAAGAGCGAUGGAAGCUUGCUUCUAUCAAUCUUAGUGGCGAACGGGUGAGUAACGCGUAAUCAACCUGCCCCUUCAGAGGGGGACGAACAGUUGGAAACGACUGCUAAUACCGAAUACGCUUGGGAGACCGCAUGAUCUACCAAGGAAAGGGUGGCCUCUACCUGUAAGCUAUCGCCUGAAGAGGGGUUUGCGU